RNAcentral lists this ribosomal RNA (327 nucleotides) under uncultured eukaryote. Its description in RNAcentral is "partial 18S ribosomal RNA". It matches the Rfam family "Eukaryotic small subunit ribosomal RNA", at positions 1470 to 1796 of the family's 1831-position model. The record is from RNAcentral.
CCCUUAGAUGUUCUGGGCCGCACGCGCGCUACACUGACGAAUGCAACGAGCUUAUAACCUUGGCCGAAAGGUCUGGGUAAUCUCCAAAUUUCGUCGUGAUGGGGAUAGAUUAUUGCAAUUAUUAAUCUUCAACGAGGAAUGCCUAGUAAGCGCAAGUCAUCAGCUUGCGUUGAUUACGUCCCUGCCCUUUGUACACACCGCCCGUCGCUCCUACCGAUUGAAUGGUCCGGUGAAGCGCUCGGACCGCGGCCUCUUGACGGGUCUCCGUCGAUUGGCUGUGGGAAGUUCGUUAAACCUUAUCAUUUAGAGGAAGGAGAANUCGUANCA